ACAUAAUGAAGAUCUCUCUGAGCUUCAGGGUACUGUCCUGUCUCCGUAAGUCAGGGCAUCACUGCUGCUGGCCUGUGGGCCCCUUCCUGUGGACAAGAAGAGCGCAUGCCAUCGCAGCAUCACGGCUCCUUCUUCACCUAUAUGUGGCGUUCCCAGCACCUGCUAUCAAUUCUCUACAGCUGCGCCUGGUGAUCUUACAAAAUUCAUGGCACUGCCGGGCACAGCUGCACACGCCUGGAAUCCCAGCAGGCUGGCAAGCUGAGGUAGGAGGAACUGAAUUCAAGCCGAGCUUGGGCUACUUAGCAACUUAGUGAGAUUCUGUCUCAAAAUAAAAAAAAAUAAUUUUUGAAAGGGCUGAGGAUGUAACUCAUUGUGAAGUUCAUGGGUUCAAUCCACACUACAAAAAAAGAGAGAAAAUCAUAGCAUAAUAUAACUGCUAAAAUAACAGUAGCACAG
This 456-nucleotide long non-coding RNA is filed under the name Chinchilla lanigera (long-tailed chinchilla). RNAcentral's name for it is "lncRNA (ENSCLAG00000026274.1)". Lineage: Eukaryota; Metazoa; Chordata; Mammalia; Rodentia; Chinchillidae. The record is from RNAcentral.